UUAAACUGAAGAGUUUGAUCAUGGCUCAGAUUGAACGCUGGCGGCAGGCCUAACACAUGCAAGUCGAGCGGUAACAGAGAGUAGCUUGCUACUUUGCUGACGAGCGGCGGACGGGUGAGUAAUGCUUGGGAACUUGCCUUUAGGAGGGGGAUAACCACGG
Molecule: ribosomal RNA, 160 nt
Filed under: Pseudidiomarina donghaiensis
Lineage: Bacteria; Pseudomonadati; Pseudomonadota; Gammaproteobacteria; Alteromonadales; Idiomarinaceae
Description: Idiomarina donghaiensis partial 16S rRNA. Bacterial SSU
Rfam family: Bacterial small subunit ribosomal RNA
Source: RNAcentral